This 443-nucleotide ribosomal RNA is filed under the name uncultured bacterium. RNAcentral's name for it is "partial 16S ribosomal RNA". It matches the Rfam family "Bacterial small subunit ribosomal RNA", at positions 28 to 507 of the family's 1533-position model. The record is from RNAcentral.
GAUGAACGCUGGCGGCAUGCCUAACACAUGCAAGUCGAUCGGUAAGGCUCUUCGGAGUUCACGAGAGGCGGAGGGCUGAGUAACGCGUAGGAACACACCCCGCAGUCAGGGAUAAGACACCGAAAGAUGUUCUAAUACCGCAUACGGUCUUCGGAUUAAAGCAUUUAUGCGCGGAAGGAGUGGCCUGCGUCAUAUUAGAUGGUUGGUGAGGUAAUGGCUCACCAAGUCGAGGAGGUGUAGCUGGUCUGAGAGGAUGAUCAGCCAGACUGGAACUGAGACACAGUCCAGAAUCCUACGGGAGGGAGCAGUGAGGAAUAUUUCACAAUGAGCGAAAGCUCGAUGGAGCAAUGCCGCGUGCAGGAUGAAGGCGGUCGGGUUGUAAACUGCUUUUAUAAGAGAAGAUUAUGACGGUAACCUAUGAAUAAGCGACGGCUAACUACGUG